AUUGAACGCUGGCGGCAGGCUUAACACAUGCAAGUCGAGCGGGGAAGGGUAGCUUGCUACCUAACCUAGCGGCGGACGGGUGAGUAAUGCUUAGGAAUCUGCCAUUUAGUGGGGGACAACAUUCCGAAAGGAAUGCUAAUACCGCAUACGUCCUACGGGAGAAAGCAGGGGAUCUUCGGACCUUGCGCUAAAUGAUGAGCCUAAGUCGGAUUAGCUAGUUGGUGGGGUAAAGGCCUACCAAGGCGACGAUCUGUAGCGGGUCUGAGAGGAUGAUCCGCCACACUGGGACUGAGACACGGCCCGGACUCCUAUGGGAGGCAGCAGUGGGGAAUAUUGGACAAUGGGCGGAAGCCUGAUCCAGCCAUGCCGCGUGUGUGAAGAAGGCCUUAUGGUUGUAAAGCACUUUAAGCGAGGAGGAGGCUACUUAGAUUAAUACUCUAGGAUAGUGGACGUUACUCGCAGAAUAAGCACCGGCUAACUCUGUGCCAGCCGCCGCGGUAA
This 501-nucleotide ribosomal RNA is filed under the name uncultured bacterium. RNAcentral describes it as "partial 16S ribosomal RNA". It matches the Rfam family "Bacterial small subunit ribosomal RNA", at positions 30 to 523 of the family's 1533-position model. The record is from RNAcentral.